AGAGAGAUGAUGGAAAAUGGCAACCAUCCGCUUGACGCUGGAAUGAGUCGCCAAUUAGCACAUCUCUGUCGAAGUCGAGCCGCCCGGAUCGCUACAAACUCCAAAUCUCGCACGAAAAAAUAGCGAUCAUGGCGAUGGCGACAUCGGAUGUUCCUGUGAUCUAGGCAGAAAAUCUCACCAGCGAUCUUAGGUCAAUCCUCUACUGGUGGUGUUAGUGUACGAAGUGGCAACUGGUUCUACUCGAUUGGCUGAAGGAAUCCUAUAUAGUUUUCGAUUUCCAAUAGCUAAUGGCCAGGUCACUAAAUGUACAUGUACUCCUAUUGGUGAUGUGCUUGCUGGCACUGGUUUGAAGACAUAAUGGAUGUAUGCUUAACUAUUUUAUUCAACUCCAUGGAUGUGUUUCUUGCCCCUGUUUUAGAUCUCUCUAUGUCUUGGGCAUGUAUAUGUUAAAAUGUUCAUCCGAGAAAAAAUGACAUACUUGGAAAUUUACUUAGUUAGAUUUUCAAAUUUUAGUUCAGUUUUUGUAAUUAUUAUUUUUCAUACCAUAUCUCAAUUUUUUAUGUUGCAAAAAAUUGAAAUUAUGUGGUGGUUGUGGUGUAGCCAAUCAAAGGCAUGAAUGUUGGCUGCGGACACAAAGGAGAGAGUCCAUCAGAGGUGCCUCAGGGUCACCCAGCCAUCGAUGGUGAAAGAAAGCUAGAAGAUCAGCCUGCUCCGCCUAUGAAUGCAUCGGCCAUCAUUGGAUAAAUUCACAAAAGUUCCUAUGCUUGAGCCCUGAGUUCUCUCCUGUCACAAUUUUUGCUUAGGACUGGCCGGAGAAUCUGUUGGUGCAUACAUGAUCUCAGGUUUCAUCAAAGCCUCCCAUGUUGCCCCUUCCAUUUCUUCUGGUAACUAUGAGUUAGCAAUGCAAUUAUGUAGUGAAGAGGGGCCAGUAAUUAAAUUAUUUGAUUUGUUCAGCAACUCCAGAACAGGUAUUUUGGUACAUCUCAAUUAUCUAAAAAACUAAAGAGGUUCCGAAGGAAUUUCUUCUCGUUUUCGGCAUAUUUUUUAGCUAUCCACGGAAACAUUUUGGUUGUUUCUUGGAUGAUUUUAAUGUCAAUCUAAGUUAUUUUCAUAGGUUCUGAACCUUAUGUUCAUCUGACCUUCAUAAUAUCUCCAAUUUUUGGUAGUAAGAUGUGAUGUUUGCUUAAUAUUGAUAGUACAAUCCUUUCCUCAAAGUUCAUCUCAAAUCUGAGUGAUAUAUGUUUUGUUUCAUUACAAAAUCUGUUGAGUUUGCUUCAGAAGGUAUUGCAAUGCCUAUUAAUUGUUUCUACAACUCACUUGAGGUAAACCUCCUGCUUCAGUUACAUCAACAUCUAAUUUAAGUUUUACAUGCUCACUUUUUCUUGAAGGCAUUUCCCCCAUUUUAUACAUGUGGCAGUCCAUGUAUAAUUAAUGCUCACUUGUUACAAAUGACCAGGUGCAUCAGGCUCGCCUAAUUCUUCUUGGUUGCCGCGCAUUAUGUUGCAUUUGGAGGUCUGAAGAUUUCAUCAAUGCACCAUGUAUAAAAUCUACUAUGACAAUUGAAGUCAACAACUACAUGUUUGUUUGUGCUGCUGCUUA
Aegilops tauschii subsp. strangulata is the source of this 1599-nucleotide long non-coding RNA. RefSeq lists it as uncharacterized. NCBI's taxonomy places the organism in Eukaryota, Viridiplantae, Streptophyta, Magnoliopsida, Poales, Poaceae. The record is from RefSeq and is a predicted model, not a curated record.